AACUUAAGAUGUCGUGGGCUGCACUUGCAGUCAGAGGCUAAAAACAUUUUAGGCCUCUAUUAGCUUCGGAAGGAACCUCACUGCACAAACCUUAGUUUUUAUUUAAGACACUGUAUUGCCUCCGAAUGCAUAAUGAAAAACGUGCAGUCGACUGCACAUUUAGUUCAGGCAGAUGCAGCCGCUGCGUGAAGAGGAUGACGCACAACAGCAUCGGAGAUGAUCGGCACCGCUGACUCUGAGGAUGACAGCGUCGCCGCAAAAACAUCCAGCGACAAAAACACAUUGAGCGGAGAGUGAUGCCGUCGUCUGCAGCUGAACCGGGAAACGCAGAGUAAGAUGAGAUGCCCGGCCGUUUAGCGGCGAGUAUCGCUGCACCUCAUUCCGUUUGAGGCAGACAAGGGUUGCGCAUCGUCACAAGGAGCCGUGCGGGACAUGGACCCAGCGGCUGCGGGAAUCGGGAGUGAUGGAAGCCCGACAGAGGCAGCGGCCGCCGGAUCCAGUCUGCAACUUGACUUUGGGGACACCGAUUCAACCGAGAAGGCUCAAAUAACAGAGAUGCCUUCCCUGUUUGGAACAGAACAAAGUCGUGAGAAGAAGAUCGGCCACAGGAGAGUAGAUGCCCAUGGAGAGACAACAUAUAAAAAAACCACCUCUUCUGCCUUGAAAGGGGCAAUCCAGUUGGGGAUCGGAUAUACCGUUGGCAACCUUAGCUCCAAGCCUGAGAGAGAUGUCCUCAUGCAGGAUUUCUACGUGGUGGAAAGCAUCUUCUUCCCUAGUGAAGGCAGUAACCUCACUCCAGCUCAUCACUACCCAGACUUCAGGUUCAAAACCUACGCUCCCGUGGCCUUCCGCUACUUCAGAGAGCUGUUUGGGAUCCGGCCAGAUGACUACCUGUACUCGCUGUGUAAUGAGCCACUGAUUGAGUUGAGCAAUCCGGGAGCAAGCGGCUCCAUAUUCUAUGUGACCAGUGAUGACGAGUUUAUCAUCAAAACCGUCCUGCACAAGGAGGCAGAGUUUCUGCAGAAAUUGCUCCCUGGAUAUUACAUGAACUUGAACCAGAACCCCCGCACUUUGCUGCCCAAGUUUUUUGGCCUUUACUGCGUCCAGAGUGGUGGCAAGAACAUUCGAAUAAUUGUGAUGAACAAUAUAUUGCCACGCUCGGUUCGCAUGCACCUCAAAUUCGACCUCAAGGGCUCGACGUACAAGAGGCAAGCAUCCAAGAAGGAAAGGGAGAAGUCCAAGCCCACGUUUAAAGACCUGGAUUUUCUGACUGAUGUUCCUGAGGGCCUCACUUUGGAUCAGGAAAUGUACAACGCUUUGGUCAAAACACUGCAACGGGACUGCCUGGUUCUGGAAAGCUUUAAGAUCAUGGAUUACAGUUUGCUGCUUGGGGUUCACAACCAAACCCUGGCAGAGAAAGAAAAUCAGUCCCAGGGCUCACCAGCAGGAGGCGGCGAUGAGAAGAAGCCUGCAGGACAGAGGGCUCUCUAUUCCACCGCUAUGGAGUCCAUACAAGGCGGGUCCACAUGCAGGGACGCAAUGGAACAUGAUGACACUAUGGGAGGUAUCCCAGCAAUGGGAAGUAAAGGAGAGCGCCUCCUGCUGUUCAUUGGGAUUAUUGACAUUCUGCAGUCCUACAGACUGAUUAAAAAACUGGAACACUCCUGGAAGUCUCUCAUCCAUGAUGGAGACACGGUGUCGGUCCACAGACCUAGUUUCUAUGCAGAGAGGUUCUUCAAGUUCUGCAGCACAGUUGUCUUCAGGAAAAGCUGCUCAUUACGACCAUCUCCAUCUAAGAAAGGUCGAGGGGCCCUCUCAGGAUCCAAGUACGGUGCUGGAGGCGGAUUGGCCGGACAGCGCCCCUCACUGACUGAUGAAAGACAGGAAAACCUGGAGAACUUGGAGAACCUCAGAGGAGCCCACAGCUUUUCUAUUCUGGAAGAGAAUGGUAAAGAGCCGCCCUGCACCCCUCCGUCAUUUGAAGACGCAACGACAGCAUCUAUUGCAACCACGCUGUCAUCUAACAACUCUUUACCAACCACCCCCUUUGAUACUCCAGAACAUCCCCGCUCCAGAAGACAAAUGCAUUCACCAAACAUAGUCAGAUCACAAAAAGAGCUGGUUGAGGUUCACGGCGAACGUCAGGACACUAUAACUGUGGAAGUGGAGCUGAGCAAGAUCCCGCAGAGUACGGAGCUGACGCAGAGGACAGAAAUCACGUCUUCCAGCCAACAAACAUUCAGUCAUCAAACUUGUACAGUAGCUUCGUUCGCCCCCAGCUCUACAUGUUCAUCCUCUGCAUAUUCCUCCGCUACUCUUCCUCCUUCCUUUGCGUCAUCCUCCUCUGCUCAGUGUGCUGCCCAGUCAUCCUCUACGCUUUCUUCAUCCAUCCGUCCGUCCACCAAACCGCUCACCUCUCCGGGAGCCGCUCAGGCUUUAACUCUCUCCUCUCCGAUCUCUGACUCAAAUGCAAAAUCUGUUCAGCUCACCGGUUUGUCUCCGAACGCCUCCACCCUCACUCCUGCCUCAGCAUUCACCCCCAUUCACCCCGCAUCCGCUAGCUCCUCUCAGCAUUUUCCCUCCACUCCUCCCUCUUCAGCCCCUUCGAGCCCCCACUUGCCUCAGGAAGAACCGCGUACUUCACAAAAGCAGCUUUCGGUGUCCAGCAGCCACAGCUCCUUGGAAGCGGAGGUGCAGGUCUCUGACAUUUACUUUUGGUCCAGUCAGGAUAGCGUGGUAGAGUUGUGAUGACUCAGGAGGACCAGAGCUGUGUUUUCUCUCCUUUCCACUGCAGCUCUGAGUCCAGAAGAGACUCAGAUGUGGACAGUGAAACAUAAUUUCAGUCGAAGGCAGCGGCAGUGGGUGGAGCCAGAGGCUUUCUCCUUACACAAAAGCUGGGAGGGUGUAAUGAUAAAGGCAGCAGGACACUGAUGAUUUACUGCUGGCUGCUGAAGCUGCAUGUAAGAGUCUGCUUUGCUUAUAGUAAAUCUUAUUACCUGGCAUUCAGCUGAAAGAAUGCAGCUUUGCAUUAUGCAUUUGAACCGAUGUACAGAGAGAUUUACUGCUAAUCUAGUGGGAGUCUGUUAUGUACAAUUUGUUCAUACAGAAGUGGAGAAACGUAUGAAUCUUACAGUACAAUCAGCUUAGUAGCACUGUGAACAAUUUUGGUAAUUGUGAUAAAGCUCUUAAUGCUUUUAACAGGAUAAUCAUUGUCAAGAUUCAAACGUCGAUUUAAAUCCCACGACAUAAAUAUUGUGUCAAUUAAUUUAAAUUUAAUUUCAGUGCAAACCCUACUGUUAUUAUUAUUCUUUUAAAAGCCAAAAGUCUGUGUAUAAGUAACAGCUUGGUUGCAGAGGGAGCAGCCAAAGCGAGGUGAAUCAAACAUUCCUUUCCCCAGCUCUGCCUAUGCAAUAUGUGUUAUCGAUUCCUCCUAUUGACUCACUUGUAAUUAGCCUGGACUUCAUUGUGCAUUUGUUUUAACUAGAGGGGAAUCAGCUCUGUAUAAUUUGAUUUUAGCACUUUAACUAUGUCUAUGAUUGAUCUUAGCACACACACUCAGACACAGUGAAUACCCUUCGCAUACAGUGGUCCUCCAGCGGUGUGUAGUGGCUCAGUCAAAGAAAAAAAAAACAAACAAAAAAAAAAAACGAUCUGGAAGCAAGUGGUUUUGUUCAAAAUGCCUUAUCAACUAACUCAGAAGCUUAUUUUUCUGAUAAAAUUAUAAAAAAAUAUGACUUAAGAAUUCAAAUAUGGACAAAAUAAAAUUGGUAAGUAAAUACCAAAUAUUAGUAGCAGGGUAAAAGUACUAUAGGAGAAGAGAUAAGACAAUAAAAUGAUAAAAUAUCUUUUGUAAAUCAUCAGUUUUCAUGUGCUUAAGCACAUGCAUGUAGGUGUGUACAUGUUGUGUUGUGUGUGCAUGUGUUUGCAUGUCUACAGUGUUUGAUUGAGAGAUGCACAUGUUGAUAUUUUUCCAGUGUUCUCUUUUUGUCAAAAUGUCAAAAGGUGUUGUAACAAGUCAUGAAAUACAGGAGCAUCUCAAUAAAUAAAAAUAAAGAAAUCUGCGUAAAGUCAACUUAUUUCAGUAACUUGGCUUGAAAAGUGAAAAUCAUGAAUAGAUUUAGUGCACUCAGAAUCAUUUAUUUUAAAUACUUAUUCUUAUUAACUUUAUGAAAGCUAAUGAAACCCAAAAUAUUAUAAUUAAAUAUAUAUAUAUAUUUUUUAGAAAAGCUGAAUUCUACUUAAAACCAAUACUUCAUAGUAGAAAUAAUUCAUGUAAUGGCCUGCACAGUCUUGGAGAAGAUGGCUCACACAGUUGUUCAUUAUUGACCCCUGCUAGCGGGAUACACCACAAUGUGUCAUUAUUUAAUAAAAUACCUGUAUCCAAGUAUGUUAACAGAAAGUUGAGUGGAAGGAAAAAGUGUGGAGGAACACAAUUUUAGAUUUUUAUAAUCAUACCCACUUGUCCACACAAGGCUGCGGGCGUGCUAGUCGCUAUCUCAGCUGGUCAUUAGAUGAGAGGUGUGAGGUGUUUCCUGCAGUCCUGAUGGCCUGGUUAUCCGUCACAUGGAUAGGUCGCCACUCCAUCACAGAGCAACACAAAAAACACAACAGAAAAAUAACCUGGCAUUUGCAUGGACAUACUAAAUGGUAAUUUAGAGAGAGCAUUUAUCCUAGGAACGAUGAAUCUGGUCUGUAAGAGGGAGGCUGGUCCUGACUGGUAUGCUCCCAGUCAGGAUUUUAGUAGAGGCAUUUUUUCUUGCUGACCACAGGAUUAGAAAAAGCUGGCUUUCAUAAUCAUCAAAUUCAACGUAGAACUAGCCCAUAUUACUCUGUUUGUUUGUACAGAAAUAUGAGUUUCCCUUUUUGAAUGGAGUUACUGACAUAAAGUAUCUUUGCAUUCCAAUUUACUGAGUUUUACUUUUAUUUUAAUCACCUGCUGUUCAUGCUUUAGCUGUCUAAGAAAAAUAAAAUGCAGUUGACCAAUUGUUUAAUGAAGCAUGAUACUUCAUAACAUAUGCAGAAAUGAAAACUCUUCAGUUUUCCAGACAGUUUAUUUGGCAAUACAUCUUCCUUGAACUGUGACCUGCUGAAACAACAGGGAUCCAAAUCCCUGUCUGAGUUUCUUUUUCUACUGUAUCAUUUGAGGCUGCUGAUGUUGACUUGCCUGUUUGUGGGCAACAGUGUUUGUAGAUUAUCACUGUGAAAAAAUAAAUAAAAUAAAAUUAUGUUGUCUAAA
RNA transcript from Xiphophorus hellerii (green swordtail), 5236 nucleotides. It is a transcript of the gene named phosphatidylinositol 4-phosphate 5-kinase type-1 gamma-like, with no coding region annotated. NCBI's taxonomy places the organism in Eukaryota, Metazoa, Chordata, Actinopteri, Cyprinodontiformes, Poeciliidae. The transcript is spliced from 18 exons. The record is from RefSeq and is a predicted model, not a curated record.